GUGGGGAAUCUUCCGCAAUGGACGAAAGUCUGACGGAGCAACGCCGCGUGAGUGAAGAAGGUUUUCGGAUCGUAAAGCUCUUUCGUUAGGGACGAACGUGCUCUUUGUGAAUAAUGAGGAGUAAUGACGGUACCUAAAUAAGAAGCCACGGCUAACUACGUGCCAGCAGCCGCGGUAAUACGUAGGUGGCAAGCGUUGUCCGGAAUUAUUGGGCGUAAAGCGCGCGCAGGCGGGAUAUCAAGUCUGUCUUAAAAGUGCGAGGCUCAACCUCGUGAGGGGACAGAAACUGGUAUUCUUGAGUGUCGGAGAGGAAAGUGGAAUUCCAAGUGUAGCGGUGAAAUGCGUAGAGAUUUGGAAGAACACCAGUGGCGAAGGCGACUUUCUGGACGAUGUCUGACGCUGAGGCGCGAAAGCUAGUGGAGCGAACGGGAUUAGAUACCCCAGUAGUCC
Molecule: ribosomal RNA, 450 nt
Filed under: uncultured bacterium
Lineage: Bacteria
Description: partial 16S ribosomal RNA
Rfam family: Bacterial small subunit ribosomal RNA
Source: RNAcentral